RNAcentral lists this ribosomal RNA (646 nucleotides) under Pediococcus pentosaceus. RNAcentral's name for it is "bacterial SSU rRNA". It matches the Rfam family "Bacterial small subunit ribosomal RNA", at positions 48 to 649 of the family's 1533-position model. The record is from RNAcentral. Lineage: Bacteria; Bacillati; Bacillota; Bacilli; Lactobacillales; Lactobacillaceae.
CUAAUACAUGCAAGUCGAACGAACUUCCGUUAAUUGAUUAUGACGUACUUGUACUGAUUGAGAUUUUAACACGAAGUGAGUGGCGAACGGGUGAGUAACACGUGGGUAACCUGCCCAGAAGUAGGGGAUAACACCUGGAAACAGAUGCUAAUACCGUAUAACAGAGAAAACCGCAUGGUUUUCUUUUAAAAGAUGGCUCUGCUAUCACUUCUGGAUGGACCCGCGGCGUAUUAGCUAGUUGGUGAGGUAAAGGCUCACCAAGGCAGUGAUACGUAGCCGACCUGAGAGGGUAAUCGGCCACAUUGGGACUGAGACACGGCCCAGACUCCUACGGGAGGCAGCAGUAGGGAAUCUUCCACAAUGGACGCAAGUCUGAUGGAGCAACGCCGCGUGAGUGAAGAAGGGUUUCGGCUCGUAAAGCUCUGUUGUUAAAGAAGAACGUGGGUAAGAGUAACUGUUUACCCAGUGACGGUAUUUAACCAGAAAGCCACGGCUAACUACGUGCCAGCAGCCGCGGUAAUACGUAGGUGGCAAGCGUUAUCCGGAUUUAUUGGGCGUAAAGCGAGCGCAGGCGGUCUUUUAAGUCUAAUGUGAAAGCCUUCGGCUCAACCGAAGAAGUGCAUUGGAAACUGGGAGACUUGAGUGC